UCACUUCUAGCAAGUAUGCAGGAAGACCACUGAUGGCAGAAGAGAUUUAUCAUGGAAAGUAUACUCUCUGGCCAAAGUAAGGGGAGGCUUUCUCACUGACAACAGCCUUAGGAAGGCAACUGAGAUUAUAUGAACCCAGAUGCUUGCAGCCUGUUGGAUAUAACUAUCAGAGAGAGCAGGUACAGGAUCAGUGCUGGCUUUGCUAAGGUUUCCUUAUUGGGUUGCAUCUCAGUUCAGCGGGAUGGAGAGCAGUGGACUCUCUCGGCUGUGGUCCCUGCAACAACCCACAGCGCAGGUAAUGUCACUCCCCAUGGGGCAUGCAGAAGGAAAGCACGGAUCUGGCAGGGUUUCCAACAUUGAAGAGGUUCCUCUCUGAAGAUUUUAUUCUUCUUGGAAGGAGAAACUUCUCCACCUGGUAAAUUGCAAAUGCAGACCUCUGUGUUGUUUGUAGGUGUGAGCCCUUUGGUUCUGUACUUCUUGGGAUGUCCAAAGCACAUUGACUCCUCUGAGACAUGUAUCAGCUACUAUCUCAAGUUCCCACCAGGACCCUACCUCCUUGGCUUGGGGAAUGGGGUGUGUGAGUCCUGACAGGACCUCUUCUGACUCUUGGAGGUCCUAUAUUUCAAGCCUUUUUUUCCUGUACAGCAGCACAGUACAAUUUUUUAAGAACUGAAAGAAUGAUAUAUACAGGCUGACCCUGACAAGAGCUUGAGAUCUGAAUCUGUUCAGAUCUUUCAAAUGCAAACGUCCCUUCUUUCGUCUCUUUCUCUUCAGGAGCAAUGAUAUGAGCUCAUGGCUGAUCAAAUUCAGCAGCUGAAGUACCAGUGGGAUCCUGAAUUAAUUUGGUGUCCCACAAAUUAUUUGGUAUAGCCAUACAACAGUUCAAUAUUUUAGUGAGUAGAGGGAAAAAACAGCUCUCCUGAGUGUAUUGGUCCUGCUGAUGUUUUUUUGGCUUUUAGAACAGAAAAUCUAACUAAAAUAAUAAUAAUCUUAUGAACAGCCUCAUUUUUCCUGUUUAUUAUUGUUACUCAAGCACAUGGUAUGCCUGAAGGUAACCUAGCCAAGAAAGCUGUGUAGACAGCAAGCAAAAGCUACGGAGAGCCAGCACAGAGCAUCAUGAUCUAACCCAGGGAAACUCCAACUGCCGGGUUAAUUAUUGUUAUUUAGUCACAUGCCAGAAAGCAUGCUAUUAAUUGCAGCAAUAAAAUGCACUGCCUUUCAUCGUAUUUAAAAGAA
RNAcentral lists this long non-coding RNA (1236 nucleotides) under Calidris pugnax (ruff). Its description in RNAcentral is "lncRNA (ENSCPUG00000011929.1)". Lineage: Eukaryota; Metazoa; Chordata; Aves; Charadriiformes; Scolopacidae. The record is from RNAcentral.